Molecule: long non-coding RNA, 551 nt
Organism: Panthera uncia (snow leopard)
Lineage: Eukaryota; Metazoa; Chordata; Mammalia; Carnivora; Felidae
Exons: 3
Source: RefSeq, a predicted model, not a curated record
CAUCUGUUGCAUCACACAUGUCUGCAAAAUAUCUCCCAAAACGGACUUGACAAUUAACUGGAAGAUGAGCUUCAAAGUUGUGGGAGUCAGUCACUGGCUGAAUCAAGAGUUGGCUGAAUGCAAGAUGUGUUGGGAAGCAGUGAGGGAGUACUGAGGAAGCCCAAAGAAGAUACCCCCAACAGCUGAGAAAGUUAUAAGAAAUGUGACUCAGAGGCUGGGGAGGGAUGCACUCAAGUUGGAAAGAAGUCUGUAGGAAGAAAACCCCCUGCUGUACAGAGUCAUGGAUUCCAUGCUUCAAUGGAUGAGUGUUAUCACAUUCACUGGGGAGGGAGAAGUGCUUGACAAGAAGAGGAAAGCCCACCCCCACUUCCACCUCCUAUCUAAUAAAGGAAAGAUCCUCACGCUGGCUCCAGUGCAAAGGUAGAGAGUAAAUAUUUCCUCUUCAAAGCCAUGAAUCCAAGCUAUUUCCCCCCACACACUUUAUGCCCAAAGGUUCUCAAGUGCUGUCAUUACAGCCUAUUUGUGUUUAAGAUUCUUUGUUUAAAAUCACA